This 97-nucleotide transfer RNA is filed under the name Lipomyces starkeyi. RNAcentral's name for it is "tRNA-Lys". It matches the Rfam family "tRNA". From Rfam's summary of the family: Transfer RNA (tRNA) molecules are approximately 80 nucleotides in length. Their secondary structure includes four short double-helical elements and three loops (D, anti-codon, and T loops). Lineage: Eukaryota; Fungi; Ascomycota; Lipomycetes; Lipomycetales; Lipomycetaceae. RNAcentral also lists the same sequence under 1 other name. The record is from RNAcentral.
ACCCUGCUAGCUCAAUUGGCAGAGCGUGAGACUCUUAUGUCGGGGUAACUCUUGAGAUGUGAUCUCAAGGUUGGGGGUUCGAGACCCCCGUGGGGUG